RNAcentral lists this long non-coding RNA (208 nucleotides) under Physcomitrium patens. Its description in RNAcentral is "long non-coding RNA (PPAT_LNC007601)". Lineage: Eukaryota; Viridiplantae; Streptophyta; Bryopsida; Funariales; Funariaceae. The record is from RNAcentral.
AAGAGGACAAUAUUGGUUCAGAGGAGAGUACUCCACAACCUCUAAAACGCCUUAAGACUCCAAGAUGAGGGGUAAUCCACUCUCUCCAAGAAGAAUAAGGCUCCAAUAUUGAGAAAGAAGAGAUAUCAGUUUAGAGGAGGGUAAUCCGCAACCUCUAAAACACUAGCACACCUUCAAGAAGAGGGGUAAUCCACUCUCUAACAAGAAG